GAUGAACGCUGGCGGCGUGCCUAAUACAUGCAAGUCGAGCGAACAGACGAGGAGCUUGCUCCACUGACGUUAGCGGCGGACGGGUGAGUAACACGUGGAUAACCUACCUAUAAGACUGGGAUAACUUCGGGAAACCGGAGCUAAUACCGGAUAAUAUAUUGAACCGCAUGGUUCAAUAGUGAAAGACGGUUUUGCUGUCACUUAUAGAUGGAUCCGCGCCGCAUUAGCUAGUUGGUAAGGUAACGGCUUACCAAGGCAACGAUGCGUAGCCGACCUGAGAGGGUGAUCGGCCACACUGGAACUGAGACACGAUCCAGACUCCUACGGGAGGCAGCAGUAGGGAAUCUUCCGCGAUGGGCGAAAGCCUGACGGAGCAACGCCGCGUGAGUGAUGAAGGUCUUCGGAUCGUAAAACUCUGUUAUUAGGGAAGAACAAAUGUGUAAGUAACUAUGCACGUCUUGACGGUACCUAAUCAGAAAGCCACGGCUAACUACGUG
This 497-nucleotide ribosomal RNA is filed under the name uncultured bacterium. RNAcentral's name for it is "partial 16S ribosomal RNA". It matches the Rfam family "Bacterial small subunit ribosomal RNA", at positions 28 to 507 of the family's 1533-position model. The record is from RNAcentral.